CAGCCCUUCGCGGAGGAGGACGCCGUCCUCGGCGAGGACGACGCGGAGCUGACGCGGCACGGGAUCUCCACUCGUAGGACCGUC
RNAcentral lists this transfer RNA (84 nucleotides) under Streptomyces roseolus. RNAcentral describes it as "tRNA-Ala". Lineage: Bacteria; Bacillati; Actinomycetota; Actinomycetes; Kitasatosporales; Streptomycetaceae. The record is from RNAcentral.